This 468-nucleotide ribosomal RNA is filed under the name uncultured bacterium. Its description in RNAcentral is "partial 16S ribosomal RNA". It matches the Rfam family "Bacterial small subunit ribosomal RNA", at positions 28 to 507 of the family's 1533-position model. The record is from RNAcentral.
GACGAACGCUGGCGGCGUGCUUAACACAUGCGAGUCGAACGGAAAGGCCCUGCUUUUGUGGGGUGCUCGAGUGGCGAACGGGUGAGUAACACGUGAGUAACCUGCCCUUGACUUUGGGAUAACUUCAGGAAACUGGGGCUAAUACCGGAUAGGAGCUCCUGCUGCAUGGUGGGGGUUGGAAAGUUUCGGCGGUUGGGGAUGGACUCGCGGCUUAUCAGCUUGUUGGUGGGGUAGUGGCUUACCAAGGCUUUGACGGGUAGCCGGCCUGAGAGGGUGACCGGCCACAUUGGGACGGGGAUACGGCCCAGACUCCUACGGGAGGCAGCAGUGGGGAAUAUUGCACUAUGGGCGGAAGCCUGAUGCAGCAACGCCGCGUGCGGGAUGACGGCCUUCGGGUUGUAAACCGCUUUCGCCUGUGACGAAGCGUGAGUGACGGUAAUGGGUAAAGAAGCACCGGCUAACUACGUG